AGGUCCAAAAAGAGAGGCAAGGUCUGAUCCGCAGCCUCUAUGGCAGCUGAUGAUCUGCUGUUUCCUCUCUCUUUCUCUCAG
Myotis davidii is the source of this 81-nucleotide non-coding RNA. Lineage: Eukaryota; Metazoa; Chordata; Mammalia; Chiroptera; Vespertilionidae. The record is from Rfam.